AUUGAACGCUGGCGGAAUGCUUUACACAUGCAAGUCGAACGGUAGAGGGGGCAACCCCUUGAGAGUGGCGAACGGGUGAGUAAUAUAUCGGAACGUGCCCAGUCGUGGGGAUAACGUAGCGAAAGUUACGCUAAUACCGCAUACGAUCUAAGGAUGAAAGCGGGGGAUCGCAAGACCUCGCGCGAUUGGAGCGGCCGAUAUCAGAUUAGGUAGUUGGUGAGGUAAAGGCUCACCAAGCCAACGAUCUGUAGCUGGUCUGAGAGGACGACCAGCCACACUGGAACUGAGACACGGUCCAGACUCCUACGGGAGGCAGCAGUGGGGAAUUUUGGACAAUGGACGCAAGUCUGAUCCAGCCAUUCCGCGUGCAGGAUGAAGGCCCUCGGGUUGUAAACUGCUUUUGUACGGAACGAAAGGUUUCUAUUAAUACUAGGAGCUCAUGACGGUACCGUAAGAAUAAGCACCGGCUAACUACGUGCCAGCAGCCGCGGUAAAGUG
Molecule: ribosomal RNA, 498 nt
Filed under: uncultured bacterium
Lineage: Bacteria
Description: bacterial SSU rRNA
Rfam family: Bacterial small subunit ribosomal RNA
Source: RNAcentral